GUGCUCAUUUUGGCAGCACAUAUAUUAAAUUGAAACAAUACAGAGAAGAUUAGUAUGGCCCCUGCACAAGGAUGACACACAAAUUCAUGAAGCAUUCCAUAUUUUU
This 106-nucleotide small nuclear RNA is filed under the name Sciurus vulgaris (Eurasian red squirrel). Lineage: Eukaryota; Metazoa; Chordata; Mammalia; Rodentia; Sciuridae. The record is from RNAcentral.